CUUGACCAAAUUAAAAGGUAAGACUAAUUUGAAAAGAAAAAUAAAAUUUAGAAGUUAAAUUAGCCAAAAUUACGUCCAGUUCCCACAACACCAUCAACAACCGGCAGUAACCAUCUCCGUCACACAAAUCCAGCCGAGCCCCAACCAAUGCCCAUUUUUAGAGCAACAGCCUUUCCACCCAUCGGACCCAUCACUAUACUCAAACUCUCGAUUUUUCCCGCACCACCAGUGGAUCUUUUCUUCCCAGAAGAUCCAUAACCCGUCCUUGCUCCGACCACCCACACCAGGUUCAACCCAAACCUCAUCUUUGACCUUCCUUUCAUAAACACACCAAAUUAGAUACACAGACCACCCAGUAACCUCCAAACCGAAGCCACCUUCCCAAACACCAGCUGUUUUCUUUGUCACAGCCACCCCUCCCUAAUCCAAUCAACCGCACUUGGUUUGCUAGCCCGGUUCAAGCACAACCUUUCAACACACCAUGGACACCAAAUCGGUUAGAUCCAAGCACCCAAGAAAUAUAUCUUAUCCAUACUGCCCAAACCAUUGAAACACCACUAACACCACAAAGUUCAUCUCCAAGCCCAGCCUUCUCUCAUACAAACUUGAAGACGAUAGCCAUGACCCCCAACCCCUAUCUCCAGCCAAAACCCAGAUUGAAACACACUAACACCACCAAAUCCAUCUCCAAGGCCACCCUUCUCUCAUAUAAACUUGAAGACGAUAGCCAUUAUUCCCAACACCUGUCUUCAGACAAAACCCAGACAUCCUUCUCCUCCUCUGGCGAAAGCCCCACUAGACCCAUAUUCCCUCCUUCCACGCCAGUAUCCGUGACCCAUCUCCUCUUCAUUUCCUAAAUCAUCCAUGGCUAGCGACCUCCCUCUCAUCAAUGUCAACCCAGCGACACUACGCCACCGACGACGGCAACAGCUUCCCAGUAGCAGCUUCUCCACAUCUCACCCGAAGCCCCAUUCAAACGGCGGCGCCUCCCAUGUCUCCCUCUCACAACAGUUCCCCAAAACAAGAAGCCCUAAACUACCACAAAGAAAAAUCCCGGAGCAAUUUCUUCACAAUCGUUUUUUUAUAAAGCGAUUAGAAA
Molecule: long non-coding RNA, 1099 nt
Filed under: Populus tremula
Lineage: Eukaryota; Viridiplantae; Streptophyta; Magnoliopsida; Malpighiales; Salicaceae
Description: long non-coding RNA (PTRE_LNC002097)
Source: RNAcentral